UUACGGCCACAUCACGUUGAAACACCAGUUCCCGUACGAUCGCCGAAGUUAAGUAACGUUCAACUUGGUCAGUACUUAGAUGGGUGACCGCUUGGGAAUACCACGUUCUGUAAG
Acanthosepion pharaonis is the source of this 114-nucleotide non-coding RNA. The record is from the annotation of a GenBank genome assembly. NCBI's taxonomy places the organism in Eukaryota, Metazoa, Mollusca, Cephalopoda, Sepiida, Sepiidae.